GACGAACGCUGGCGGCGUGCUUAACACAUGCAAGUCGAACGAAGAGCGAUGGAAGCUUGCUUCUAUCAAUCUUAGUGGCGCACGGGUGAGUAACGCGUAAUCAACCUGCCCUUCAGAGGGGGACAACAGUUGGAAACGACUGCUAAUACCGCAUACGAUCUAACCUCGGCAUCGAGGAAAGAUGAAAGGUGGCCUCUAUGUAUAAGCUAUCACUGAAGGAGGGGAUUGCGUCUGAUUAGCUAGUUGGAGGGGUAACGGCCCACCAAGGCGAUGAUCAGUAGCCGGUCUGAGAGGAUGAACGGCCACAUUGGGACUGAGACACGGCCCAGACUCCUACGGGAGGCAGCAGUGGGGAAUCUUCCGCAAUGGACGAAAGUCUGACGGAGCAACGCCGCGUGAGUGAUGACGGCCUUCGGGUUGUAAAGCUCUGUUAAUCGGGACGAAAGGCCUUCUUGCGAAUAGGGAGAAGGAUUGACGGUCCCGGAAUAGAAAGCCACGGCUAACUACGUG
This 510-nucleotide ribosomal RNA is filed under the name uncultured bacterium. Its description in RNAcentral is "partial 16S ribosomal RNA". It matches the Rfam family "Bacterial small subunit ribosomal RNA", at positions 28 to 507 of the family's 1533-position model. The record is from RNAcentral.